UUUAUUUUAUUUUGCAAGCCAAAACUAUCUACAAUUAUCUACACACCUCAUUUGCUGGCAAAUACGGAGAUCAAGGGGAUUGACAAUCCUCUUGCCCGUGUUGUGUGCAAGUUGUUUGAUAUUUUGUAUGCAGACGCUGGAGACGGUUGAGGAUCGAUAUUCCUAUUGGUUCAACAAACCUAGGUUUCUUAAUCGAGGGAAAAUACUUACCCGCAUUGCGCUGGGAUAACUCGUUCCUCUUCACGGAAAAACCAAC
This 256-nucleotide long non-coding RNA is filed under the name Hordeum vulgare. RNAcentral's name for it is "long non-coding RNA (HVUL_LNC013710)". Lineage: Eukaryota; Viridiplantae; Streptophyta; Magnoliopsida; Poales; Poaceae. The record is from RNAcentral.